GAGUUUGAUCAUGGCUCAGAGCGAACGCUGGCGGCAGGCUUAACACAUGCAAGUCGAGCGGGCGUAGCAAUACGUCAGCGGCAGACGGGUGAGUAACACGUGGGAACGUACCUUUUGGUUCGGAACAACUGAGGGAAACUUCAGCUAAUAACCGGAUAAGCCCUAACGGGGGAAAGAUUUAUCGCCGUAAAGAUCGGCCCGCGUCUGAUUAGCUAGUUGGUGAGGUAAUGGCUCACCAAGGCGACGAUCAGUAGCUGGUCUGAGAGGAUGAUCAGCCACACUGGGACUGAGACACGGCCCAGACUCCUACGGGAGGCAGCAGUGGGGAAUAUUGGACAAUGGGGGCAACCCUGAUCCAGCCAUGCCGCGUGAGUGAUGAAGGCCCUAGGGUUGUAAAGCUCUUUGUG
This 407-nucleotide ribosomal RNA is filed under the name uncultured microorganism. RNAcentral's name for it is "bacterial SSU rRNA". It matches the Rfam family "Bacterial small subunit ribosomal RNA", at positions 9 to 439 of the family's 1533-position model. The record is from RNAcentral.